RNAcentral lists this small RNA (75 nucleotides) under Klebsiella variicola. RNAcentral describes it as "partial RtT sRNA". It matches the Rfam family "RtT RNA", at positions 1 to 74 of the family's 130-position model. From Rfam's summary of the family: This family represents a bacterial cis-regulatory element known as RtT RNA. The exact function of RtT is unknown although it is thought that it may be involved in changing the cellular response in relation to amino acid starvation. The record is from RNAcentral. Lineage: Bacteria; Pseudomonadati; Pseudomonadota; Gammaproteobacteria; Enterobacterales; Enterobacteriaceae.
UAUUCUACCCUACGGGGAAGGAUGAGAAGCUUCGACUAAGGUUCGACUCGAGCGCCAGCGAGAGAACGUUGCCGC